This 498-nucleotide ribosomal RNA is filed under the name uncultured bacterium. RNAcentral describes it as "bacterial SSU rRNA". It matches the Rfam family "Bacterial small subunit ribosomal RNA", at positions 30 to 507 of the family's 1533-position model. The record is from RNAcentral.
CGAACGUUAGCGGCGCGCCUAACACAUGCAAGUCGAGCGAGAAAGGGAGCAAUCCCCGGUACAGCGGCGCACGGGUGAGUAACACGUAGGUAACCUGCCUCCGAGUGGUGGAUAACCUUCCGAAAGGAGGGCUAAUACAGCAUGAGCCCACGAUUCCGAGAGGAGUUGGGGGAAAAAGUCGGCCAAUCCAUGGAAGCUGACGCUUGGAGAGGGGCCUGCGGCCCAUCAGCUAGUUGGUGAGGUAACGGCUCACCAAGGCAAAGACGGGUAGCUGGUCUGAGAGGAUGAUCAGCCACACUGGAACUGAGACACGGUCCAGACUCCUACGGGAGGCAGCAGUGGGGAAUCUUGCGCAAUGGGCGAAAGCCUGACGCAGCGACGCCGCGUGGGUGAUGAAGGCCUUCGGGUUGUAAAGCCCUGUGGAGGGGGACGAAUAAGGCAUGGCUAACAUCCAUGUUGAUGACGGUACCCCUUUAGCAAGCACCGGCUAACUCUGUG